Molecule: transfer RNA, 74 nt
Filed under: Synechococcus sp.
Lineage: Bacteria; Bacillati; Cyanobacteriota; Cyanophyceae; Synechococcales; Synechococcaceae
Also listed under: 12 other names
Description: tRNA-Pro
Rfam family: tRNA
About the family: Transfer RNA (tRNA) molecules are approximately 80 nucleotides in length. Their secondary structure includes four short double-helical elements and three loops (D, anti-codon, and T loops).
Source: RNAcentral
CGGGAUGUAGCGCAGCUUGGUAGCGCAUCUGCUUUGGGAGCAGAGGGUCGCAGGUUCGAAUCCUGUCAUCCCGA